GCCUUCGUAGCUCAGUGGUAGAGCGUCGGUCUCGUAUGCUGUAGUAAGAAAACCGGAUGUCGAGAGUUCAAUCCUCUCUGAAGGCU
RNAcentral lists this transfer RNA (86 nucleotides) under Daphnia pulex (common water flea). It matches the Rfam family "tRNA". Rfam says of the family: Transfer RNA (tRNA) molecules are approximately 80 nucleotides in length. Their secondary structure includes four short double-helical elements and three loops (D, anti-codon, and T loops). Lineage: Eukaryota; Metazoa; Arthropoda; Branchiopoda; Diplostraca; Daphniidae. The record is from Rfam by way of RNAcentral.